GGCUGGUCCAAAGGUAAUGAGUUCUCUCAAGUGACUGUUCACAAAGAUUGAACUCCUUAUCCCACUUUUUUUCCCUUUUCACUACUGCACUUGACUGUUCUUGA
Molecule: unclassified non-coding RNA, 104 nt
Organism: Otolemur garnettii (small-eared galago)
Lineage: Eukaryota; Metazoa; Chordata; Mammalia; Primates; Galagidae
Rfam family: Y RNA
About the family: Y RNAs are components of the Ro ribonucleoprotein particle (Ro RNP), in association with Ro60 and La proteins. The Y RNAs and Ro60 and La proteins are well conserved, but the function of the Ro RNP is not known.
Source: Ensembl